Long non-coding RNA from Mustela erminea (ermine), 243 nucleotides. RefSeq lists it as uncharacterized. Lineage: Eukaryota; Metazoa; Chordata; Mammalia; Carnivora; Mustelidae. The record is from RefSeq and is a predicted model, not a curated record. The transcript is spliced from 3 exons.
AAGUCAAAGGAAAGUAAAAUCUUUAUGGAAAGGUUUUUAGCUUCAGGAAUUCAUUAACUUUACUGGACAAAAAGCUCUAAUUUUCAGGAGUCAUCCACUCACAGAAGUGCCCUGGAGAAUAAUUCCUAAAGUUUAGAAACUCGUACCAUCACUCUUGAGCAGAACGGGACUACUGCUCAGGCAGUCUCUGGAAGAAGGCAAAGGAUUCAAGCAUCACUGAGAAAGAUGGUCCAGAUGGUCCCA